RNAcentral lists this long non-coding RNA (640 nucleotides) under Amborella trichopoda. RNAcentral describes it as "long non-coding RNA (ATRI_LNC004869)". Lineage: Eukaryota; Viridiplantae; Streptophyta; Magnoliopsida; Amborellales; Amborellaceae. The record is from RNAcentral.
AAAAAAUUCAAUGCGGUAGAGAAUCCAGGGGAAGUGAUGAUGUGGCUCCAACAUGGGUACGAUGAGGAUGGGAAGUUGGGAAGUGGUAACAUGUGUGACGUUGCUGAGUUGGGAAGUGAAUGAUGAGGAUGGGAAGUGGAUGGAUGAUGGGAAGUGAAUGAUAUGAGGAUGGGAGAUGGUUGAAAUUUGCUAGUGAACCAGUUGAAACCACCCGUGUUACUGUAGCACGGGUGUGUUUUCGCCAAAUUCGGUGACUCUCUCUAGACACGGGCAACCGUUGAAACCACCCAUGUUACAAGCGUGUCUUUGUUUAAAACUCAACGACUCUCUCUAGACAUGGGCGACCGUCAUGAACCGUGUUCCUUAAAAGGGGGUGUACGCAGUGGCUUCAAAAACGGAUCGGUGACUCGGAUCGGGCACCUUAAAAAUCCAUCCGGAUUGAAAUGAUGGGGAAGUUGGGAAGUGAUGGUUGAAAAUUGCUAGUGAACCCGUUGAAACCACCCGUGUUACUGUAGCACGGGUGUGUUUUCGCUUAAAACUCGGUGACUCUCUUUAGACACGGGCAACCGUUGAAACCACCCGUGUUACAAGCGUGUCUUCGUUUAAAACUCAACGACUCUCUCUAGACAUGGGCGACCGU